RNAcentral lists this ribosomal RNA (495 nucleotides) under uncultured bacterium. RNAcentral describes it as "partial 16S ribosomal RNA". It matches the Rfam family "Bacterial small subunit ribosomal RNA", at positions 28 to 507 of the family's 1533-position model. The record is from RNAcentral.
GACGAACGCUGGCGGCGUGCCUAAUACAUGCAAGUAGAACGCUGAAGGAGGAGCUUGCUUCUCUGGAUGAGUUGCGAACGGGUGAGUAACGCGUAGGUAACCUGCCUGGUAGCGGGGGAUAACUAUUGGAAACGAUAGCUAAUACCGCAUAAGAGUAGAUGUUGCAUGACAUUUGCUUAAAAGGUGCAAUUGCAUCACUACCAGAUGGACCUGCGUUGUAUUAGCUAGUUGGUGGGGUAACGGCUCACCAAGGCGACGAUACAUAGCCGACCUGAGAGGGUGAUCGGCCACACUGGGACUGGGACACGGCCCAGACUCCUACGGGAGGCAGCAGUAGGGAAUCUUCGGCAAUGGACGGAAGUCUGACCGAGCAACGCCGCGUGAGUGAAGAAGGUUUUCGGAUCGUAAAGCUCUGUUGUAAGAGAAGAACGAGUGUGAGAGUGGAAAGUUCACACUGUGGCGGUAUCUUACCAGAAAGGGACGGCUAACUACGUG